GAUGCUCCUCAGCAUUCACUGUGAGCGCGGUCACAUCAGCACUCACUAAGGGGACUGCAGGGUAGCAGGGUCAGCAGAGCCGCAGGGGCCAGUGAGGAGUGCAGGAACUGAGAAGGCUGGAGGGCGGGCUGGAGGGAGGCUGCUGCCAUUCCGUGCCUCUCGGCCUAGGUGUGUUACCGGGUGCUGAUGCAGCUCUGCUCCUACUACGGGCAGCCCGUCUUGUCUGUGCGGGUCAUGCUGGAGAUGCGACGGGCAGGCAUCGUGCCCAACACCAUCACCUAUGGUUACUACAAUAAGGUACCUAGUUUGGGGUAGGACGGCUGGCAGGCUGGACCAGGUGUGCGUGGGGAGGACGUCGUUCCCUGACCCCUGCUUCCCCGUCUUGGAGACUGGGCUUGUGCAGCUCCACUGGGUCCUGGGACCAUUGUCCUCCAUCGCCGCCUCUUGUAGCCUAGGCACCAGCAAAUGGCUUUUUGGUUUUUUGUUUUCAUCUUAGCUUCUUUUAUUCCCCAUCGCAACAGCCUGACUGUAGCUCAUAGUACCGGCCGUGUGUCCGGCACUCUUCUGAAUACAUCAUACAUUUUUAAAAACUUCACAUUAUACGUUUUAAAUAACUUUAUAUUCACCAUCCCCCUGGGGUAGGAGGAUCACCCCCGUCUCAUAGAUGAGGAGAUGAGUUACAGAAAAUUCAUAACUUGCCCAAAGUACCAUAGUGGACGAGUUGGGGAGUUAGAAUAUGAGCAAAGGCAUAUUCCUGUUUCCCAGAUUCAGCCCCUUCACCAUGAUACUGAACAUCUCCUGCUUUUCAGAUGAGGAAACUUAAUGACCGAAAUCUGAAAUGAUUUCUUCAAAGCCACACAGUUUAUAAGUAGUAGAGUCUGAUUAAGAACUUCCUCCAUUACUCUGGGCUUCUCGCAGGUCCUCUCAGGAUAGUUGCUCACAAUUACCCUUGUUCCUGGCUGAGCCAUUGGUCAGGCAGUCCUAGGCAGGAUGUGUGGAGGGAAGGUGGUCCCUGGGGCUCGAGGACAGGAGGUGGGCAUCAGGCUGGGGUCAGGGUGCUGGAAGGAGGCCAUCCUGAUGGGCGCUGUACUUGGCAGGCUGUGCUGGAAAGCAAGUGGCCAUCUGGUACACCAGGUGGACGCUUGCGUUGGGCCAAGCUCCGGAAUGUUGUCCUGGGGGCUGCUCAGUUCCGUCAGCCUCUGAGAGACCGGCAGCGGCGGCAGCAGCAGCAGCAGCAGCAGCAGGUGUCAGCACACCAAGAGGCUGGCAGUUCCCAGACAGGUGGGCAGGGACUGGUGAGCAGGCUUAGGGAGGGGCAGCAGGCUCUUGGAGAGCCAGAGCUGGCUUCGCGGUCGGCAUGGGCUUUCAGAGAAUGGCUAAGCUACACUCAACUGGUAACAAAAGAGAGAAAGUUCUGCCUGUGGGGAACCCUGCCAAGCCAGGUCCCUCCGCGGAGGUCUGUUGGGGUUUCUAGCUCGCGGCCUCUAAAUCCCUUCUCUGUCCUCCAGAGUCCUAUCUGGAACGCCCUUCCCCGACCCGUCCCCUUCAGCGCCAGACGACUUGGGCUGGGCGAAGUCUGAGGGACCCGGCCUCACCCACUGGGCGCCUAGUGAAGAGUGGCAGUUUGGGCAGUGCCCGAGGAGCCCAGCCCACUGUAGAGGCCGGUGUGGCCCACAGUAAGUGCCCUGGUCUGGUCCUCCUCUUCUCUUCCCCACAGUCAGUUUUCCUAACCACUUGCAAGAAAGGAGAAGAACCAGGGCCAGAAUUCUGGAAAAGUGGGCCUGUGUGGUGGGUAACUGUGUACUCUGAGGAGUCAAAAUGUCGUGGUGGGGUCAAGUGUCAGAGUUUACACAGCCGGAAUCGUGUUACUCAAGAAGCAGGCAGCUGGAGGAGAGGCUGGCCUCCGCCUUCCCUGAUUCUUUUUUUGUCCUGCAGUGAUAGAGGCUUUAGGGGUCCUGGAGCCCCGGGGAUCACCUGUGCCCUGGCAUGAUGGAAGUCUCUCAGACCUGAGCCUGACAGGGGAGGAGCUGGCACCUGGAGGCAGUCCAGGCGGCUCAGGCUUGGCCCUGAGUGCCCAGUCCACUGAGGCCCUGGAAGGGCUGAGUGUGCGAGGGCCCAAGGCUAGUGGGCGUCAGGAUGAGGCAGCCACCCCCCGACGAGGGCUGGGUGCCCGCCUCCAGCAGCUGCUCACUCCUUCCCGCCGCUCCCCUGCUGCCCGCAUUUCCCCAUCAGAGAUGCCCCCUGACCUGCCUCCCCCUGCCCGUCGCAGCCCAAUGGAGAGUCUUCUGAGGCCCCGGGAGCGACCUGGAUCCACUGCAUCGGAGGUAGCCAGCCCCGAAGCUUCAGGAGGCCCCAGGAGGGGCCUGCAGGGUCGUUAGAGCUGGCAUCCCUGCUGGAGAGGAGCGCGGAGCCAGCUGACAGGGUUUCCUUGUGUGAUGGCAGAGCUCAGCCUCUCUGGGCAGUGAGUGGGACCUCUCAGAGUCUUCUCUCAGUAGCCUGAGCCUCCGCCGUUCCUCAGAGCGCCUCAGUGACACCCCUGGAUCCCUCCAGCCACCUUCCCUGGAAGUGAGGAUAACCGCCCCCCUGCAGUCUUCCCGGGAAAGGCAGGGUGGGGAGGAGGUCAAGGAGGGCUGGCUGGGAUUUGGAGGUGGAAGGGCCAGGAGAGGGGCACUGAAGGCUGAGCCAGGCCUACUUCCUGGGGUCUCCUUGUCCACAGAUUCUGCUCUCCAGCUGCUCCCUGUGCCGUGCCUGUGACUCACUGGUGUACGAUGAGGAAAUCAUGGCUGGUUGGGCACCUGACGACUCUAACCUCAACACAACCUGCCCCUUCUGCGCCUGCCCUUUUGUGCCCUUGCUCAGUGUUCAGACCCUUGAUUCCCGACCCAGGUGCCCAAAUCAGGGCAAGUGCCGUGGGUGGGACAGGAAGGCAGUGGUCCAAGAGCUGACCCCUUCUGCUGUCCCCUUGCAGUGCCCCCAGCCCCAACCCUGCCCCUGCUGGUGCCAGCAGCAGCAAAGACGCCCCUGUUCCUGGGGGUCCUGGCCCUGUGCUNGGAAAGAUACAGAGCUACUGAGCCUUUGCCCAGAUGAGAGGGGGGAUCUCAUCCCACCAGUGGUGGUCCCCCUUCCCUGGCGUUGCUGAAGGAGCCCAAGGCUCUCCAUGCCUUUCUACCUUAGUGUUUGUAUUUUAUUUUAAGUUAUUUAUUCUGGAGCCACAGCCCCCUUGCUAAUGAGGCUCUAAUGGAGAGUGAGAAAGAGAAGGGAAAUGGGGCACCGAGGUCUGUAGCUCCCUGAAAGCCAGGCAGUGGGAGCCAGGGGAGCCCCAGGACCCCCUGAGGAAGAACUGGUGCCUCCUGCAGUCCUGAUCUUUCCUGUCCACUCCAUCUUGGGAAGCGCCCCACCCACCCAGGGCCCUGACCUGUGCAAUAAGAAUUGUCCCCUGCAAAGUUUUGUUGUAUGUAAAUAUAGUAAAAGCUGCUUCUGUCUUUUUCCUUCUGUCUCCCUUUUCCUGGGUCUGGAUGAUAGUGGGGGAUGCUUAUGCUGCGCCUUUCUCUUUUCCACCUCUGUCCUUUGCAACCUUCAGGUAUACCCUGCUUCUCCUGGCCCCUUGGUCUGGUACUGGCCCCUUGGGGCACAGGGAGUUCUUAGAGCAGGAUGGGGGGGAAUCUGGUGCUGCUAUGGCAGUGCCAGUCUGUGUGGCACUUCCAGCCCUCCCACACAAUCACCCCCUUGUCCCUCAUCUGUACCCCACACAAAGGCUCCAUUCUCUGGGGGCCUUGAGCUCAUCUUUGCCUUAUUUCCUCUCCCCUAACUUGCCCCCCGACUUCUCCAGUACCUCCACAGAGAUGACAACCCUUUCCCCAGUAGUUGGUGUUGGCGGCCCUCACGUGUCCUGGGGGACUUGGCAUUCAGUCAUUCUCGUCCUCCCUAGUUGCUCUAUUUGCAGGCAGUAUUCUUCUGCUCAGGGUCUCAGCCUGGGGACAGCACUGGAAAGAAAGGGGCUUCUUGUGCUGUGAACAUCAGGGAGAUGGGCAUCAUUUUCUAAUCCCUUGGCCCACUCAACGCUCUCCUUUUUUUCCCUAUAUAAGAAAUAAACAGGAAACAAUUCCUAACAGAGCUGCAAAACCAUUUACCAAAGGGAGUCAGCUAACAAAACAAAUGCCUUGGGAAGGAGGGCUGCAGUAUCAAUGGGGGAAGUGACUUACAUUAAUGUUUAGUGUAAAUCCCUGGGCGAUGGAGAUCAGUGGGUGAAAAGAGAAGUACUACUUCUGAAUGCCGGGACCUUCAUGCAGAGGACCCUUCCCCAUCCUGCCUUGAUGCUUUUCCAGUCCUUAAAAGAGCUGCAAAGGAGGAAACCAAAGGGCUUAGGAAAUGCCACCAUCUGUCUUGCUAGAUGAUGAUCUCUUCAGAGGUCACCCUAGUUUCUGAUUAGACCCCACUCAUCAGAAUCGACUCCCUAUUUUGUCCCUAAGGCCUAAGGACCUUUAGUAAGGGUGGACUUGCCUGUGUGUGUGUGUGUGUGUGUGUAGUGGUGGUGAUGCCGGGGAUCAAAUUCAGGCCUCAUUCAUGCUAGGCAAGUGCCCUACCAGUGAGCUAUGCCCCUAGCUUACAGACCUGCCCUCUUACAAUUAAUUUGGGUAUAGUAUACUCAGUACUGCACUUAACUAUAGUGAGAAAAUUUUAGGGCCCAGUCCCUGCCCAAGUAGAGCAUACUAUCUUACUAGUCUAGCAUGCCCUUUGGUUCCACAGUAAGAACUCUGCCUUCCAGCUUAUGCCUCUCAUUUUUGAGAAGUUAGAUAAGAGAACUACAGAAUUUCAUAACUACAGAUUAUCGGGAAUUCCAAUAGCAACUUAUGAUACCAUAAUAUCUGAUAUCUGUCCUGUGGCCUAGGGAGCUUUCUGAGGGAAAGGAUAUGUCUAAAUUGCCUGGGUCAGUUUCUUUUUCCAGACUUCAGAGUAUAAAUCUUGUCUCUGUCACUUACUAAUCUUAUGAUGUCAGACAAGUAACUUAACUGCUAUGCCUUAUUUUUUUCUCAUCUGAAUGUGGGGAGGGGGGUCAUUUAAAGACUAAUUAUAUUAUCCAUAUGAAAUGUUAAGCACAUUCAAUAAAUGUUAGCUUCAAAAAGGCAAGUA
Molecule: long non-coding RNA, 5130 nt
Filed under: Marmota monax (woodchuck)
Lineage: Eukaryota; Metazoa; Chordata; Mammalia; Rodentia; Sciuridae
Source: RNAcentral